This 253-nucleotide ribosomal RNA is filed under the name uncultured bacterium. Its description in RNAcentral is "partial 16S ribosomal RNA". It matches the Rfam family "Bacterial small subunit ribosomal RNA", at positions 524 to 776 of the family's 1533-position model. The record is from RNAcentral.
UACGAAGGGGGAUAGCGUUGUUCGGAAUCACUGGGCGUAAAGCGCACGCAGGCGGAUCGCUAAGUCGGGGGUGAAAGCCCGGGGCUCAACCUCGGAAUUGCCUUCGAUACUGUCGGUAUCGAGUCCGGGAGAGGUGAGUGGAAUUCCUAGUGUAGAGGUGAAAUUCGUAGAUAUUAGGAAGAACACCAGUGGCGAAGGCGGCUCACUGGCCCGGUACUGACGCUCAGGUGCGAAAGCGUGGGGAGCAAACAGG